CCUACGGGAGGCAGCAGUGGGGGAUAUUGCACAAUGGGGGAAACCCUGAUGCAGCGACGCCGCGUGUGGGAAGACGGUCCUCUGGAUUGUAAACCACUGUCCCCAGGGACGAAGAUGACGGUACCUGGGGAGGAAGCUCCGGCUAACUACGUGCCAGCAGCCGCGGUAAUACGUAGGGAGCGAGCGUUGUCCGGAAUUACUGGGGGUAAAGGGAGCGUAGGCGGGACUGCAAGUUGGGUGUCAAAUCUACCGGCUCAACCGGUAGCCGCACUCAAAACUGCAGUUCUUGAGUGAAGUAGAGGCAGGCGGAAUUCCUAGUGUAGCGGUGAAAUGCGGAGAUAUUAGGAGGAACACCAGUGGCGAAGGCGGCCUGCUGGGCUUUUACUGACGCUGAGGCUCGAAAGUGUGGGGAGCAAACAGGAUUAGAUACCCCAGUAGUC
Molecule: ribosomal RNA, 440 nt
Filed under: uncultured bacterium
Lineage: Bacteria
Description: partial 16S ribosomal RNA
Rfam family: Bacterial small subunit ribosomal RNA
Source: RNAcentral